GCCCGUAACAUGCCACGCUGUCUGGAGGAUGGCUCGGCUUGAGAGCCGAAGAAGGGCGCGGCAAGCCGCGAUACAGCCUCGGGUAAGCGCAAGCAGCCUUAGAACCGAGGAUACCCGAAUGAGACUUCUCAACAACCGUAAGGUUGUUGCUCCUAAUGGAGCGGGAACCCCCCGAACGGAAGCAUCUUAGUAGGGGGAGGAAAAGAAACCAACACGGGAUUCCCUUAGUAGCAGCGAGCGAAAUGGGAACAGUCCAAACCGAAUCCCUUACAGAAAUGCAGGGGAGAUGUAGGGUUAAGGGCCUUGCUUCCUCUUCGCUGGCAAAGCUGAAGUAGCCUGAAAAGGCUCGCCAAAGAGGGUGAUAGCCCCGUAAGUAUAAACCAGAAAGAGCUGAGCGAGAGUCCCAGACUACCACACCGUGGCUUCGGUGUGGAAAGUUGGAAGUCACCAACUUCCAAGACUAAAUACGCCUCAAGACCGAUAGCGCACUAGUACGGUGACGGAAAACUGAAAAGUACCCCGGAAUGGGGGUGAAAAGUGCCUGAAACCAGACAGUUACAGACGUGCAUGGCCCAGAAGAGUAGAAAUUUUCCAAAGGAAUCUGUAGUGAUGCAGUUGUACGAGGAAGAUGGAUCAGGGUUAUGCGUUCCGUCUCGAAACACGGGCCGGGGAGUUUAUAGCUAUGGCAAGCCUAAAAGGUAAAACUUGUAAGCGUAGGGAAACCAACACGCACGCAGCUCGCAAGAGUCAGGUGCAGGGUCUGAAAGGGCCCGAAGUCAUAACUAUACAUACUAGAAACCAGACGAUCUAGCCCUGGGCAGGAUGAAGCUAGGCGAAAGCCUAGUGGAGGUCCGAAAGGGUUCUGACGUGCAAUUUGUUCCCCAGACCUGGGGCUAGGGGCUAAAGACCAAUCUAGUCUGGUGAUAGCUAGUUCCUUCCGAAGUGGGCCUGAGCCCAGUCCUGAGCGAGGCAGCUGGUGGGGUAGAGCACUGAUU
Molecule: ribosomal RNA, 995 nt
Filed under: Nitrososphaerota archaeon
Lineage: Archaea; Thermoproteati; Nitrososphaerota
Description: partial 23S ribosomal RNA
Rfam family: Archaeal large subunit ribosomal RNA
Source: RNAcentral